This is a long non-coding RNA of Lemur catta (Ring-tailed lemur), 122 nucleotides long. RefSeq lists it as uncharacterized. The record is from RefSeq and is a predicted model, not a curated record. NCBI's taxonomy places the organism in Eukaryota, Metazoa, Chordata, Mammalia, Primates, Lemuridae. The transcript is spliced from 3 exons.
GCAAGCCUCAGGCUCAGGUCACAUUUAAGCUCAAUAAAGUUGUGAAGCACUAAUCUGGUCCAGAGGUUUCCCAAUCCCAGUCCAGAGAUGAACAGCUUCAGCCUCAGAUGACAUCGAGGUCC